AGGUAUUUAAAAAAACGUAAACAAACCAUUAAAAGGGUAAUUUAUUGGGCAGGUUUUGGUUCCUGUUAAAUUUUCAAUUUUAAAAAAUAACAGGUUACAGAUUCGUUCCAUCCUAUUUCAGCAACCUGUAGUUACGCUGGAUUUUAUGAUAUAUAUACACAUAUAUAAAUUUACCCAAUUAUUUAUAUCACAUUAAAUGAUUAAUAAUUUUUUAUAGUAAAUUGCCUCAUAAAAAACACCCAAUUUUGCAGAUGUGCAAAACGCAAGGUUAUAGUUAUGAGGAUAAAAUACGACUAGAUUACAGAGUACCGUUUUUAGUGUAGCAACACGUACCUUGUGUCACUUUUUAACUUGGUCGGUUUGACAGCGGCCAUUGCUUGACGCUUGUUGCAUUGUGUUUUAUAGUCGGAUGCCCUUGCGAUAUUUGUGGUGUUUUUGAGCUGUUAUUCGUUGUAAAUUUUGUGGUUUUCUGUUAAGUUUUUGUUGAACUUGUUUGUUUUGUUACGGAGUUGUGUGUUUUGCGUGAACAUGGAUGAUAACAAACCGGGAAGUAGCCGGCCUAGUUCCCUGCUUACAUUUCCUUCUCCGAAGAAAAAGAGGCCUAAAACGGGACAGCUUUCGUCAUCGGAGAAGACCGUACUUGUUAACGUUUAUAAAUACGUGGAAGAAACGUGGCCCAAGGAUAAAUACCCAUAUAAAACCGAAAUCGUUCAGAAAACGGCAGAAAUUGUUGGUGUCUCGACUCCUACUGUAUACUCUGUUUUGAAAGAAUACAAGACCCACGGUCGUGUUCAGUCUCCACCGCCAUCUGCGACGAAACCAAGUUUAGUAAAUGCACUGGAUGAGAUUGAACUGGGUGGCAUUCGAAGAAAAGUACACCAAUUUUAUUUUGCCAAUGAAAUACCAAGUAUAAACAAAAUGCUUGAUGCAGUAAACAGUGAUGAGAGUCUGCCAAACUUCUCGAGAACCUCAUUUUUUAAAGUUUUAAAAAAACUGGGGUUCAAGUACUCUAAAAGAAACCGAAAAAGUAUGUUGAUUGAUAGAAGUGAUAUAGCCUUAUGGCGUAUUAACUAUCUAAACAAAAUAGAAGAAGAACGAAAGGCAGGGAAAAAGAUUUAUUACCUGGAUGAGACCUGGGUUAACGAAGGGCACACGAAAGAAAAAGUUUGGCAAGACACAACAAUCAAGAGUACCAAAGAAGCUCAUCGCCAAGGGCUUUCUACAGGACUCAAAAAUCCAUCCGGCAAAGGAAAACGCCUCAUAUUAGGCCACAUAGGAUCUUCAACCGGCUUCUUGAAGGAGGGCGAGCUGAUCUUUUUAGCGGGCACAGAUGAUGGAGACUACCAUAAAGAAAUGAAUGGAGCAAACUUUGAAAAAUGGUUUGACGUUAUUUUAAAUAACGUUGAGCCAAAUUCAGUAAUUGUGAUGGACAAUGCACCAUACCAUUCACGCAAGCUCGAAAAAACUCCUAUUUUAAAAACAAAAAAAGCUGAAAUCCAGGAAUGGUUACGGUCCAAAAAUAUUGCUUUUGGACCUAAGGAAUAUAAGGAGCAACUCUUGAAGAGAGUGCGAAAAGUAAAAAAAAAUACGAAAAAUAUGUUGUGGAUGAAAAAGCAAAAGAAAGGGGCAUUACUGUCAUAAGGCUCCCGCCCUACCACUGCGAGCUCAACCCUAUUGAGCUCAUUUGGGCACAGGUAAAAGGGGAGAUUGCCGCAAAAAACAAAACGUUCAAAUUGAAAGAGCUAAGAGAUUUACUACCCGAGGCACUCGGAAAUGUCACUGCUGCUAAUUGGAAAAGCUGUGAAGAUCAUACCAUAAAAGAAGAAGAAACAA
Cydia splendana is the source of this 1833-nucleotide long non-coding RNA. RefSeq lists it as uncharacterized. Lineage: Eukaryota; Metazoa; Arthropoda; Insecta; Lepidoptera; Tortricidae. The record is from RefSeq and is a predicted model, not a curated record. The transcript is spliced from 3 exons.